UACGGGGGGGGGCAAGCGUUGUUCGGAAUUACUAGGCGUAAAGGGCUCGUAGGUGGCCAACUAAGUCAGACGUGAAAUCCCUCGGCUUAACCGGGGAACUGCGUCUGAUACUGGAUGGCUUGAGGUUGGGAGAGGGAUGCGGAAUUCCAGGUGUAGCGGUGAAAUGCGUAGAGAUCGGGAGGAAGGCCGGUGGCGAAGGCGGCUCUCUGGAACGUCCCUGACGCUGAGGCGCGAAAGCGUGGGGAGCAAACAGG
This 254-nucleotide ribosomal RNA is filed under the name uncultured prokaryote. RNAcentral describes it as "partial 16S ribosomal RNA". It matches the Rfam family "Bacterial small subunit ribosomal RNA", at positions 524 to 776 of the family's 1533-position model. The record is from RNAcentral.